UGCGAUAAGCGCCGGUAAGGUGAUAUGAACCGUUAUAACCGGCGAUACCCGAAUGGGGAAACCCAGUGUGACUCGUCACACUAUCAUUAACUGAAUCCAUAGGUUAAUGAGGCGAACCGGGGGAACUGAAACAUCUAAGUACCCCGAGGAAAAGAAAUCAACCGAGAUUCCCCCAGUAGCGGCGAGCGAACGGGGAGGAGCCCAGAGCCUGAAUCAGCAUGUGUGUUAGUGGAAGCGUCUGGAAAGGCGCGCGAUACAGGGUGACAGCCCCGUACACAAAAGCGCAUGUGCUGUGAGCUCGAUGAGUAGGGCGGGACACGUGGUAUCCUGUCUGAAUAUGGGGGGACCAUCCUCCAAGGCUAAAUACUCCUGACUGACCGAUAGUGAACCAGUACCGUGAGGGAAAGGCGAAAAGAACCCCGGCGAGGGGAGUGAAAAAGAACCUGAAACCGUGUACGUACAAGCA
This 466-nucleotide ribosomal RNA is filed under the name Salmonella enterica subsp. enterica serovar Hadar. RNAcentral's name for it is "partial 23S ribosomal RNA". It matches the Rfam family "Bacterial large subunit ribosomal RNA", at positions 67 to 572 of the family's 2925-position model. Lineage: Bacteria; Pseudomonadati; Pseudomonadota; Gammaproteobacteria; Enterobacterales; Enterobacteriaceae. The record is from RNAcentral.